This 346-nucleotide ribosomal RNA is filed under the name uncultured bacterium. Its description in RNAcentral is "partial 16S ribosomal RNA". It matches the Rfam family "Bacterial small subunit ribosomal RNA", at positions 338 to 684 of the family's 1533-position model. The record is from RNAcentral.
CCUACGGGAGGCAGCAGUGGGGAAUAUUGCGCAAUGGGCGAAAGCCUGACGCAGCGACGCCGCGUGAGGGAUGAAGGUCUUCGGAUCGUAAACCUCUAACAGCAGGGAAGAAAUAAAGUCCUUUGGACUUUGGACGGUACCGGACUAAGAAGCCACGGCUAACUACGUGCCAGCAGCCGCGGGAAUACGGAGGGGGCAAGCGUUAUCCGGAGUUACUGGGUGUAAAGGGAGCGUAGACGGCAGCGCAAGUCGGGAGUGAAAUCCCAUGGCUUAACCAUGGAACUGCUUUGGCAACUGUGCAGCUAGAGUGCAGGCUAGGUAAGCGGUAUUCCUAGUGUAGCUGUGA